AAACCAACCGGGAUUGCCUUAGUAACGGCGAGUGAAGCGGCAAAAAGCUCAAAUUUGAAAUCUGGUACCUUCGGUGCCCGAGUUGUAAUUUGGAGAGGGCAACUUUGGGGCCGUUCCUUGUCUAUGUUCCUUGGAACAGGACGUCAUAGAGGGUGAGAAUCCCGUGUGGCGAGGAGUGCGGUUCUUUGUAAAGUGCCUUCGAAGAGUCGAGUUGUUUGGGAAUGCAGCUCUAAGUGGGUGGUAAAUUCCAUCUAAAGCUAAAUAUUGGCGAGAGACCGAUAGCGAACAAGUACAGUGAUGGAAAGAUGAAAAGAACUUUGAAAAGAGAGUGAAAAAGUACGUGAAAUUGUUGAAAGGGAAGGGCAUUUGAUCAGACAUGGUGUUUUGUGCCCUCUGCUCCUUGUGGGUAGGGGAAUCUCGCAUUUCACUGGGCCAGCAUCAGUUUUGUGGCAGGAUAAAUCCAUAGGAAUGUAGCUUGCCUCGGUAAGUAUUAUAGCCUGUGGGAAUACUGCC
This 513-nucleotide ribosomal RNA is filed under the name uncultured Saccharomyces. RNAcentral describes it as "eukaryotic LSU rRNA". It matches the Rfam family "Eukaryotic large subunit ribosomal RNA", at positions 62 to 578 of the family's 3401-position model. The record is from RNAcentral. Lineage: Eukaryota; Fungi; Ascomycota; Saccharomycetes; Saccharomycetales; Saccharomycetaceae.